Molecule: ribosomal RNA, 397 nt
Filed under: uncultured bacterium
Lineage: Bacteria
Description: partial 16S ribosomal RNA
Rfam family: Bacterial small subunit ribosomal RNA
Source: RNAcentral
AUACGUAGGGGGCGAGCGUUGUCCGGAAUGAUUGGGCGUAAAGGGCGCGUAGGCGGCCCGGUAAGUCUGGAGUGAAAGUCCUGUUUUUAAGAUGGGAAUUGCUUUGGAUACUGUCGGGCUUGAGUGCAGGAGAGGUAAGUGGAAUUCCCAGUGUAGCGGUGAAAUGCGUAGAGAUUGGGAGGAACACCAGUGGCGAAGGCGACUUACUGGACUGUAACUGACGCUGAGGCGCGAAAGUGGGGGGAGCAAACAGGAUUAGAUACCCUGGUAGUCCACACUGUAAACGAUGAAUGCUAGGUGUAAGAGGUAUCGACCCCAUUUGUGCCGGAGUUAACACAAUAAGCAUUCCGCCUGGGGAGUACGGCCGCAAGGUUGAAACUCAAAUGAAUUGGCGGGG